AUUGAACGCUGGCGGCAGGCCUAACACAUGCAAGUCGAGCGGCAGCGGAAAGUAGCUUGCUACUUUGCCGGCGAGCGGCGGACGGGUGAGUAAUGUCUGGGAAACUGCCUGAUGGAGGGGGAUAACUACUGGAAACGGUAGCUAAUACCGCAUGACCUCGAAAGAGCAAAGUGGGGGAUCUUCGGACCUCACGCCAUCGGAUGUGCCCAGAUGGGAUUAGCUAGUAGGUGAGGUGAUGGCUCACCUAGGCGACGAUCCCUAGCUGGUCUGAGAGGAUGACCAGCCACACUGGAACUGAGACACGGUCCAGACUCCUACGGGAGGCAGCAGUGGGGAAUAUCGCACAAUGGGCGCAAGCCUGAUGCAGCCAUGCCGCGUGUGUGAAGAAGGCCUUAGGGUUGUAAAGCACUUUCAGCGAGGAGGAAGGCAUCAUACUUAAUACGUGUGGUGAUUGACGUUACUCGCAGAAGAAGCACCGGCUAACUCCGUGCCAGCAGCCGCGGUAAUACGGAGGGUGCAAGCGUUAAUCGGAAUUACUGGGCGUAAAGCGCACGCAGGCGGUUUGUUAAGUCAGAUGUGAAAUCCCCGCGCUUAACGUGGGAACUGCAUUUGAAACUGGCAAGCUAGAGUCUUGUAGAGGGGGGUAGAAUUCCAGGUGUAGCGGUGAAAUGCGUAGAGAUCUGGAGGAAUACCGGUGGCGAAGGCGGCCCCCUGGACAAAGACUGACGCUCAGGUGCGAAAGCGUGGGGAGCAAACAGG
This 759-nucleotide ribosomal RNA is filed under the name uncultured Enterobacteriaceae bacterium. Its description in RNAcentral is "bacterial SSU rRNA". It matches the Rfam family "Bacterial small subunit ribosomal RNA", at positions 28 to 776 of the family's 1533-position model. The record is from RNAcentral. Lineage: Bacteria; Pseudomonadati; Pseudomonadota; Gammaproteobacteria; Enterobacterales; Enterobacteriaceae.